This 30337-nucleotide long non-coding RNA is filed under the name Eucalyptus grandis. Its description in RNAcentral is "long non-coding RNA (EGRA_LNC005565)". Lineage: Eukaryota; Viridiplantae; Streptophyta; Magnoliopsida; Myrtales; Myrtaceae. The record is from RNAcentral.
AUGCCUUCUUCUCCAAGAAGGUAAAGUGCCCAAACGAGAAGUCAAUGAGAUAUGUCCCCUGCAAGAUUAGUCAGUCAAAUGCCGAGGAUCCCUCCAAAGGGUCAGUGACACCUGAGAUCGCCCCAGCACCAUCACCUUCUUAUGCGGCACUCAAUAGGAACCGAUAGCAAGUAAAGUUAUUAGACAGGGCUAAAGCAAUUGUCAUGUGGUUUCUGCCAGAAAAAUAAUGGGGCACAGCAGCUUUCUGUACUUAGUUUUUUUAAUAUUUGCAUCAUGCAUUGUAACUUCAAGCAUGUAAGUUUCUCGUGAAUUUUAAGUAUCAUUUGAGUAUAGUAAAUUAAUGCAGUUGAAGUUGUCCAUUUGCAUAGAGUCGAGUAAACUUUUGUAGAUCUAUUAACUUGACUAUCGAGAGACCUGAAAAGAUAAUAUAAUCAAACAAAAGAAAAACGAAACCUCUCUGUUAUCAAACAAGAGAGUGAAUAGAAAUGGGGAGGACCUUUGUCUAGAAGGACCCUUUGUCUAUUAGUACAGUAGCCACAUGGUCAAGUAAAUCAUAAUACACUACAAAUUCAAGAUCCUGCAAGUGAAAAUCCAAUAGCCUAAAGAAUAAAAACAGGAUAAAUGUAGCACCCACAGUCGACCCUGUUAUUAAGGACUUCAGAAGAAAUACAUGCAACUAUUAUUCCAUGACUUUACAAAUUCAGUAUCCACAGCAUAGAGUACAACAUUAAGCAAUCAAAUGCAAAAUACAUCAUUUAUAUCAAGCUUAAACUGACAAUGGAAGAGAUGGGAUUUUGUAUUUCACUCCACAAAAUUUGUUUGGACUUUGCUAACUAAAUGCUCUCCAUAGCAUGCUCUUCCAAACUUCCUGGUUCCACCGGUUCUCCCCACACCCACACAGACAUCUAAAGGCUCCACCGGGACAUUGAAAUUGGGCUGUUUGUAAAACAUUAAUUAGUGUUCAGAAAAGAACUGGAUUCAACAAAAAGAAAUGCACAAAGGAGAUUCCAGUCAAGAAAUUAACCUCAUAAAAGUAUGCUACACAGACUCGAUGUCUUGAGCAACUAUUAAUUACGCGAUGCAACGUUGAGUCAUAUAAGCCAUUGGACCAAAUCUGCAGUUGUCCAGACCAAAAAUUGAUUUGCCAAUCCAGCACAAAGUCAGAAAUGAACAUCAAGGAGUCUUCUUCUCCAAGUUUAUACCUUAAGCAUGUCGCCUAUGUUGCAAACAAAUGUUCCUGGAAUAGGAACAGCAGAGAUCCACUCACCAGAGAGGUUCUUGACCUUCAAAAACUCACCCAGAUCAAAAUGAACGUAAUAGAGGAGCUAUGAAGUUUUGAUAACCGAAAUGCGUGGCAGGUUUUCACUGAAUAAGGUAUAAUACUGAUUGUAAUUUAUUACAGAAUGUGAUCUGAUACCAUUCAAGAUUUAAACCUUCUCACUCAUUCUGCAUGAUCUAACACCAAUAGAAUGAGAUGACAAUAACAACAACAAACUAAGCAGAGGAUCAAUCAGAAUGAGUAACAUGAGAAAUUUAUAUUGCAGAGGCAACCUAUGGGAUGGCAAAAAUUAGGAGCUGUAUUUAUGACCAUGGUUGUGCAGCUGCUCUGAACAUUAAAGAAACUACUUAACAAUCAGGAUAGAUAGACCCAAACAUAUUCUGAUGAUCAAAUCUAAAUCCAUUUUCGUCAAUGUCAAUCAUCUAUUGAGAGCCUCCUUGGUUUGGUCUAAAGAGGAUAUUCCAAAUUCCACUUGGCCAUUAUUAAAUUGACUGCAAUCUUUGUCUUGGUGGGAACUAGCAUGGCAUCUAAUUUUCCUUUAAUCCAAACCAAACAACUAACUGUUGUAUUUACUGCCAAAUUCGAUAUAUUAUAAAUGUUGUGAAAAACAUUAUGGUGACUUGAGAUGUUACUUAUACGUUCUAAAGAGUGAAGUGUUCCAUAAUGAAAAGCUAAUAUCAAUUUCUAAAAGUCAAAAGGAGAAGAAUAACAAAAGUUAAAAGCAAAGCCACACCAAACAUACACUGCCAUUUGGAAUGACCAACAGCCUGGACUAGAAAACGUACUCAUACAUGUCAUCUUGAAAUUCCAAGAACUGACUUCUCUAAGGAAUUAGCAGAACAAUUUGAAUCAAUUUAAUACUUAACUCAGUCUCACUUGUUCUGUAAUUACUCUUUAAUGAUUAAGAACUAAUUUAAAAUAUCAAAACUAAAACAUUAAAAGAAAUUGCAACUGUACCUGAAGAGCAGUGAUGUCAUCCUCCUGAUUCACCAGAGUCAACAAACCCGUAACAUAGCAUCAUAACUCAUUGUCCUUUAUUUCAAGUAUGAAAUCCUCUAAAGACUCAGAAAGUUACCAUAAUCAGUGUGCGCUCCGCUGUUUGCUUCAUGCACAACAAGAAAAGAAAAGAAAAACUGCAUGAGGGACUAAAGUAAUGAAGAAUUCUAGAGUACAAUCAUUGACAAUGAAUUAACUCGCGAUGAGAGGACAAAUGUAUUACCAUCCAAUGUCAUUUUCAGAACUUCCAAGGCCAUUUGCUUUUGAUGCACCUGGAUAACUGAUUAUACGCAAUACCCAAAAUGGAUCUCCAGCUCUUUGACCUUCAAAUUCAUUUGGGGAUCCGCCUAAUGCUAAUGCAAUACCUCAUGAUCUUUCUUGAAAGUUCUAGGAACAAUCAGAAUCAUGUGUACAAAAAUGAUGGAUAAGAAAAGUAUUGACAGAGAACCACUAAUCAAGAGUCCAUACCAGUGCAAAGGCUAACGUAUUCCUCCAUGAUUGGCUUUAAAUCUGAAGGAUUAACUGGCCUGCAUUGGGGACAAAAGAAAAAUGCGUUAACACAUUCCAGAAAAAAUCAGCAACACGUAACUCAAUCCAAAACAAGCUAUCAUAUACCUGAAUGUUGUUAGCAGUGUUAAGAGAUGUGCAAUGAAUUAAAUGAAAAGGCUGAGCUUAUGGAAGAAAUAAUAUCUAUAAUUUUCACGAAAGGACUCUAUCUCAAGUUUAGUUUGCUAAAUGGAUGAAUUCCAGACAUAUUUACUACUCAUAUGUGCAUUUAAUUGAACAAUCAUUAUAUUAACUAGUGCUGGAAGAAUGAGGAACGGCAAAGUGAUAGAUCAACAUGGGACCUAAGUUUAUACAUAAUGCCACUGCCCAAUUGCCACUGUCCAUUUGCUCAGCUCAGUUUGAUGACAUUGACAUAAUGAUGGACCUAAGGAAAACAAGCAUGACGAGUACUAAAGUUUCUUAUGAUUAAUACUUGCUACUGAUGACGAACAGUUAAAAGGAACGGUGCUCUUGUCAGGGUACAACCCUGAUCGUGCCCCCUGAUUGCUCCCCCGCAUGGCCACUAGACCAAAUGUCUAGUGACACGGUUAAAGGGGCUACAAAAUAAGAGACGUAGACAAUUAUCUUAGGUUAGAGUUCUUGAUUCAACAUACCACUGAUUACAUCCUUCCAUGACCUUGCCAAGUUCUCCAUACAUCCCUUGCCUCACUUCUCUGUAACACUGCUCCAAAUAUCACAUUUUAAGUCAUUGCAGUGGGAGGGAGAUAACAGCGUGGGAGACAGCAGCAGAAUACUAUGAUAACAUCUCAGUAUCAUCAUCCCAAUACCAGUGCAGGCUCCACAUUCAGUGAUAUGGAUCCCCACCUAAAGGACUAUAUAACUGCGCAAUUCAUAGUGGAAUAACAUUGACAUAAUUUGUAUGAGUUUCAUGCAGAGAAAUUCUGUUCGCUUGAAUUAAAGAUUGCCUAAGACUUUCACAGAUUGAACAGUGCUAAUCAAAACACUCCACUUCAAUGGAGCUAAACAAAUUAUCCAAGAGAAAAGGCAUCCCGGAAAACAUGAAUGCUUUUAAUGAUUAGAGAACCCUACCAUACAGGGACAAGUCAUAUGAUACCAGGGAACUGUUACUGUUCAAUCAACAUGAUAUAAUAAUCUUGUACUUAAGGCAAGUAUAUCUGAACAGCAACCAAAACAUUGGUGAAGCAACCUACGUCAAUGGCCCCAUGCAUUUCAGGUACACCUUUUGUGAUAUUUUCAUGAAGUCUCUGGUAUACCCUGCAAAAAAAUGUUAAAAGUCAUGUUUAAGCUAAUUAGCAAUUCACCUGGAAACUAGUAUAAACUUGCAAUAUUACAUGAUUAUAAUUUUCCUAGGAAUGAAAAAGCGGAAAAACCGUAGAAAUACGGGUAUAGGGAGGUGUAGUGACCAGAAUCAGAUCAUGAUGCUGGAUAGAGGUUUUGCAUGACCAUUUUUUUUUUCUGUAUACUGGCCAAGCUACUUUACCAUCAAUAUCAUAUGGGAAUGACAAUUGGUAGGUCAUUAGAUUCCUUGAAGCACCCUUUUUGGAAGCUUAUUUUGUUUUGCUAAUUAAGUAAGCUGUGUAUUCCUCACCACUCACAUGUGGGAGGCAAACGUUUGGGGAGCUUAUUUUCUAAAGCUUAACUAUAGGACAUGAUAUUCUUUCUGAUUUAUUUGAAUCAGUGUUUUCUCUGUAAUUUGAUCCUUCUGUUCAUGUUCUACAACAAGCCAAAAAUUAUUAACAGUUUAUGGACAUCUUGCUGCAUAGAAAAUUUAAGAUAAGAGAACACAGGUUGUGAUUCUAUUUGCUGCUUCCAUCCCAUGUUCUACAAUAAAGUAAAACUUAUUAACAAUUCAUGAGCAUUUAACUGCAUAUCAAAUCACAGAGAAGAGAACACAGCUAGUGAUUGAUCUAAAGUUGACAAUCGUCAAAAGGACAUUUCAAGAAUGCUAGGGGAGUCUAACCUGUAUCCUGCCACUGGAGUCAUGAUCGAUCUAAAGUUGACAAUUGUCAAAAGGACAUUUCAAGAAUGCUAGGGGAGUCUAACCUGUAUCCUGCCGCUGGAGUCAUCUUGAUCUUGAACUUCUCUUCAUAAGGAAGUUCAAAAACUUCGUGCGUCAAGAACCUUUUUAAUGAGGGAGUUGGGAAUACCAUGGCCCUUCUGGUCAAUGACAAAGUUUACACACUUCCACAUCACUGAAGAAUGAAUGAGGAAGCACACAAUAGUCCUGCUUUUCCCCCCCACUGAACUAAAAACAAGACAGUUUUUAACAGCAACAUGCUUUUUUAUGUAAUUUCUGCGAUUGCCAUGCCUAAAACUCCAUUUGAGUUUUAAGUUCCCAUUCCUCACUCUACAAACUCAAGUAAACUGACAAAAGAAGCUCCCGCAAUAAUAUUGUACUUAUUAUCAAUGAAAAGGCCUAAUUAAACAACCUUUCACCCUAAAAAACUCAACAUCUCAAGAAUGGUUCUAUCAGGAGACCGACCCACAAUGCACAUCAAACAUACUUCUUAAAAAAGACUAGAUGAACCAACAGAGGCAAGAGAUUCAAUACAGCUUAUACUGGGAACAUUAACAACUGAAUACGAAAACAAGUUCGGAUGCAACCACGUGUUCACGCAUUCGGCAAAACAAGAUAACAAGCACAUAUUCGCCGACCUUGAUGUUAUGGACGGCGACCACAUAAAUUUCUGCCAUCAAAUACAGAAUCCCACUGCAAAGCACUCCGAUUGAUUUGAAAACAGCUUAGUAAGCUCGCGCUUGCGUUUUCAGCAACUGGGUCGACGCUAAGCUACCCGAAGGAGCGAGCGGGGACAAAGUCACUGACCACGUCGAAGAAACCAGCCUCCCUACAAGCCUGAUCCAACUGCCUGACAACUUCAGCCACGCCCGGGUCUUCACCCAUGUCCGGAUCAUCGCACUUGGCCAUGAGGGGACCCAUAUCUGCAGAACAAGAUUGAAACGCACUGGAUUGAACGUCGGGUCGAUUAGGCCAGGUGCCCACAGAGGGCAUUGUUCCCUUGUUGUGGUGGGCGAGGGUCGGCCGACGGCCCUUGCCAACGCCUCAACCAAAGAGAGAGAGUAAGAACAAAAUAGAAAAUAAAAAAAAUGAAAAACAAAAAAAAAUUAUAAAAUAUUAUUAAAAAUGUUUACAUUAGCACCGAUUAUGUGAUAUGGAACAGUUUUAUGCAUUUAUGUUAGCAAUUUUCAAUCAAAAUUGGUGGAUGAAUUGAAUUGGGAUGAAAAUAAAAGAUGUAUAAAUAAAUUGAUCCAAUUAAAAGAUUUGAUACUAAAUUGAUACAAAGGUAAUAAUUUUAUGACUUUUUUUUUCUAUGGAUUACCACUACAAUGAGUAGGAGUUUAAUCUAACUAAUGACUCAACUUGUCAUCUAUGUUAUUCUUCCUCUCCAAAGAUUUCACGGGACAUUCCCUUAAGAGUGAUUGGUUUCCGGUCCGGUUUAGUUCUAUUCAAGAAUUGGUCACUUAUUUAAAAUGAAGAUGAAAUUAAGAAAGGAAGACGGUGAGAAUUCUUAGCUUUUCUCCGGUAAAAUAAAAAAGGUUCGACCAAUCAAUUAGAGAAAUCUUCCAUGCUUUUCUCUGGCAAAUUUCAGUCCGGUUCUCCUUUGAAAACGAGAACCAGACUACCCAAAUACCAGUUAUACUUUUAUAAAUCAGUAAUUAGACCUAACGGCCGGUUCGAUUUAGUUCGAGCGGUUCCCUAUCUAGUCAGUCCAUCUUGCUCACCCCUAAUUUUCUUGACAAAUUUCUCGCAAAUUCUGAUCACCAAUAGUGUAGGCAAAGCAAUACAAAUUUUGUAAAACAAGAAACGUGAGGAUUAAAACUCACUCAAUAUUACCUUUUGAGUCGGAUUAUAAGAACAAGAUCUGUGGCGAGCCUCCCCAACUGCAUUACGUGUAGUAUGUCGGACCUGAUGGGAAAGGCGAAUUCGCGGUCAAAACUCUCGUUCGGCAUUCUCCUAUCUUCUUCAGUCUGGAUAGUGUUUCCCCCUUCUCUCUCGAGAGAGAAACAGGUGGGAGCAUAGGACGUACUGAUAGCUUUCUUGCAGGGUUUUCAUAUGCGGAGAGACCCAGCAAAUGCAAUACUCCGAAGACUUUUCAACGACCCGACUCAACUACGUUCACUGACUGAGGCUUGUCUCUUUUCAUGCAGGAGCAGACCCACCAUGUCCUUGCUUCUCUUUUUGAGGCCUAGCUCUCCAUUCACGGGAUUCUACCAGGAGAAUGUCACCGCGACCUGGAAUGGCAAAGGAGUCAAGAUCUGCAAUUACACGGGCUUCACCUGUGCAACUGUACCCGGCUACGAGAUGUUGGGUCUCACCAGCGCGGACUUCCAUGGCUUCGGCUUCUGCAAUGACUAGGGACAGCUCACUAUCGAUAACUUCAUUGAGAAACUACCCGAUCUCGUAUUCUUUCAUGCAAACUCCAACGACAUUACCGGCCGCAUCCCCUCCAGUAUUUCCAUGCUCAAGUAUUUCUACGAGCUCGACUUGAGCAACAACAAGCUACAAGGAACAUUCCCAAUGACCGUUCUAGGCGUCACCGGGCUCACUUUCUUGGAUCUCAGGUUCAACAACCUAAUUGGACCGUUACCACCUCAAGUAUUCACUGUGGACCUCGAAGUUCUCUUUCUCAACAAGUAGUUCAAUGGGACAAUCCCGGAAAAUCUCGGUAAAACACCCGUAAGUUAUCUCACCCUAGCCAACAACAAGUUCACAGGCCCAAUCCCUCGGAGCAUAGGGCAAACUUCAAAGUCGUUGCUAGAGGUGCUGUUCCUGAAUAACCGAUUAUCGUGUUGCCUUCCAUAUGAGAUAGGACUCCUGAAGAAAACAGCUACUUUCGACGCCAGUAUCAAUCAGUUGACUGGUCCAAUACCACAUUCCUUCGGCUGUCUGCAGCAGAUGAAUCAGCUAAACUUGUCGUAUAACCAUUUAUACGGGCCAGUACCUGAGAUGGUGUGCGUGCUGCCGAAGCUGAGUGCACUAACACUGAACAACAAUUACUUCACACUGGUUGGGCCAGAAUGCCGGAAGUUGAUCUUGAAGAAAAAACUCGAUGUAAGGAUGAACUGCAUUUUAGGUCUUCCAUCACAGAGAUCUCCAAGAAGGUAAAGUGCCCAAACGAGAGAUCAAUGAGAUAUGUACCCUGCAGGAUUAGUCAGUUAAAUGCCGAAGAUGCCUCCAAAGGGUCAUUGACACCUGAGAUCUCAAUAGGCACCGAUAGCAAGUAAAAUUAUUAGAUAGGGCUAAAGCAAUUGUAAUGUGGCUUCUACCAGAAAAAUAAUGGGGCACAGCAGCUUUCUGAACAUGGUUUUUUUAUUUUUUUUAAUAUAUAUUUGCAUCAUGCAUCGUGAUUACAAGCAUGUGAGUUGCAUCAUGCAUCGUGAUUACAAGCAUGUGAGUUUCUAGUGAAUUUGAGUAUCAUCUGAGUAUAGAGUCGAGUAAGCUGUUGAACUUGUCAACUUGCAUAGAGUCGAGUAAGCUUUCGUAGAUCUAUCAACUUGACUAUCAAGAGAACUGCAAAUAAAAGAGUGAAUAGAAAUGGGGAGGACCUCUGUUUAGUAGUACAAUGGCCACAUAUUUAAGUAAAGCAUGAUACAACCUAAAAAUUCAAGAUCCUGCAAGUGAAAAUUCAAUAGCCUAAAGAAUAAAAAAGGAUAUUUGUAGCACCCACAGUCUACCCUGUUAUUAAGGACUUCGGAAGACAUACAUGCAACUAUUGUUCCAGGGUUUUACAAAUUCAGUAUCCUCAGCACAGAGUACAACAUCAAGCAAUCAAAUGCCAAAUACAUCAUUUAUGUCAAGCUUAAACUGACAAUGAAAUAGAUGGGAUUUUGUAUUUUACACCACAAAGUUCGUUAGGACUUUGCUAACUAAAUGCUCUCCAUAGCAUGCUCUUCCAAGCUUCUUGGUUCCACCGGUUCUCCUCACACAGACAUCUAAAGGCUCCACCAGGACAUCGAAAUUGGGCUGUUUGUAAAACAUUACUUAGUGUUCAGAAAAGAACCGGAUUCAACAAAAAGAAAUGCUUAAAGGAGAUUCCAGUCUAGAAAUUUACCUCAUAAAAGUAUGCUACACAGACUCGAUAUCUUGGGCAACUAUUAAUUACGCGAUGCACUGUUGCGUCAUAGAAGCCAUUGGACCAAAUCUGCAGUAGUCCAGACCAAAAAUUGAUUUGCGAUACCAGUACAAAGUCAGAAAUGAACAUCAAGGAGUCUUCUUCCCCAAGUUUAUACCUUAAGCAUGUCGCCUAUGUUGCAAACAAAUGUUCCGGGAACAGGAACAGCAGAGAUCCACUCACCAGAGAGGUUCUUGACCUUCAAAAACUCACCAAGAUCAAAAUGAACCUAAUAGAGGAGCUAUAAAGUUUUGAUAACCGAAAUGCAUAGCAGGUCCACUGAAUAAGGUGUAAUACUGACUGUAAUUUAUUACAUAAUGUGAUCUGACACCAUUCAAGAUUUAAACCUUUUCACUCAUUCUGCAAGGAUAUGAUACCGUUCAAGAUUUCAACCUUUUCACUCAUUCUGCAUGAUCUAACACCAAUAAAAUGAGACAUGAUCAACAACAACAAACUAAGGAGAGGAUCAAUCAAAAUGAGAAACAUGAGAAAUUUACAGAGCACUGGGAACUGAGGCUCAAAACAAGGAUCAGGAGCUGUAUUUAUGACCAUGGUUGCACAGCUGCUCUGAACAUUAACGGAACUACUUAACAAUCAGUAUAGAUAGACCCAAACAGAUUCUGAUGAUCAAAUCUAAAUCCAUUUUCAUCAACAUCAAUCAUCUGUGAAGGUUCUCCUUGUUUUGGUCUAAAGAGGAUAUUCCAAAUUCCACUUAGCCAUUAUUAAAUUGACUGUAAUCUUUGUCUUGGUAGGUGGUUAACAAGACUGCUGGAUUUAGUAAUAAUAAAUGAGCCACUCUUUCCAAAUGGCAACUAACAUGUCAUUUAGUUUACCCAUAAGCCAAACCAAACAACUAACUGUUGCAUUUACUGCCAAAUUUGAUAAAUUAAAAAUGUUGUGAACAACAUUAUGGUGACUUGAGAUGUUACCUAUACGUUCUAAAGAGUGAAGUGUUCCAUAGUGAAAAGCUAAUAUCAAUUUCUAAUAGUCAAAGGGAGAAGAAAAACAAAAGUUAAAAGCAAAGCGACACCAAACAUACACUGCCAUUUGGAAUGACCAACAGCCUGAACCAGAAAACGGACUCAUACAUGUCAUCUCGACAUUCCAAGAACAGACUUCUCUAAGGAAUUAGCAGAACAACUUGAGUUAAUUCAAUAUUUAACUCAGUCUCACUUGUUCUGUAAUUACUCUUUAAUGAUUAAGAACUUAUUUAAAAUUUUAAACAUAAAACAUUAAAAAAAAUUACGAUUGUACCUGAAGAGCAGUGAUGUCAUCAUCCUGAUUCAACAGAGUCAACAAACCUAUAAUGUAGCAUCAUGACCAAUAUAUAAACUCAUUGUCCCUUCAAGUAUAAUAUCCUCUAAAAGACUCAGAAAGUUACCAUAAUCGGUGUGCGCUCCGCUGAAUGUUUCAUGCAAAAGAAGAAAAGAAAGAAAAAACCGCGUGAGAGACUACAAUAAUGAAGAAUUGUAGAGUACAAUCAUUGACAAUGAAUUAACUCGCAAUGAGAGGACAAAUGUAUCACCAUCCAAUGUCAUUUUCAGGAUUUCCAAGGACAUUUGCUUUUGAUGCACCUGGAUAACCGAGUAUACGCAAUACCCAAAAUGGAUCUCCAGCUCUUUGACCUUCAAAUUCACUUGGGGAUCCGCCUAACGCUAAUGCAAUGCCUCUCAUGAUCUUUCUUGAAAGUUCUAGGAACAAUCAGAAUCACGUGUAGAAAGAUGAUGGAUAAGAAAAGUGUUGACAGAGAACCACCAAAAGUAUUGACAGAGAACCACUAAUGAAGAGUCUAUACCAGUGCAAAGGCUAAUGUAUUCCUCCAUAAUUGGCUUUAAAUCUGGAGGAUUAACUGGCCUGCAUUGGGGACAAAAGCAAAAUGCGUUAACACACUCCAAAUAAAUCAGCAACAUGUGACUCAAUCCAAAACAAGCUAUCAUGUACCUGAAUGUUAGCAAUGUUAAGAGAUGUGCAAUGAAUUAAAUGAAAAGGCUGAGCUUAUGGAAGAAAUAAUACUUACAAUUUUCAUCUUAGGACUCCAUCUCAAGUUUAGUUUGCAAAAACGAUGAAUUCCAGACAUAUUUACUACUCAUGUGUGUUUCAUGGAACAAUCAUUAUAUUAACUAGUGUUGGAAUUAAAGAAGAAGGAAGGGCAAAGUGAGAGAUCAACAUGGGACCUAAGUUUAUACAUAAUGCCACUGCCCAACUGCCACUGUCCAUUUGCUCGGUUCAGUUUGAUGACAGUAACAUAAUGAUGGACAUAAGGAAGACAAGCAUGACGAGUACUAAAGUUUCUUAUGAUCAAUACUUGCUGCUGAUGAAGAACAGUUAAAAGGAACGGUGCUCUUGUCAGGGUACAACCCUGAUCGUGCCCCCUGAUCGCUCCCCUACAUGGCCACUAGACCAAAUGUCUAGUGACACGGUUAAAGGGGCUACAAAAUAAGAGGCGUAGACAAUUAUCUUAGGUUAGAGUUCUUGAAUCAACAUACCACUGAUCACAUCCUUCCAGGACCUUGCCAAGAUCUCCGUACAUCCCUUGCCUCACUUCUCUGUAACACUGCUCCAAAUAAUAUCACAUUUUAAGUCAUUGCAGUGGGAGAGAGAUAACAGCACGGGAGACAGAAGCGGAAUACUGUGAUAACAUCUCAGUAUAAUCGUACUAAUAACGUGCAGGCUCCAUAUUCAGUGAUAUGGACCCCCACCUAAAGGACUAUAUAACUGCGCAAUUCAUAGUGGAAGAACAUUGACAUAAUUUGUUCGAGUUUCAUGCAGAGAAAUUCUGUUCGCUUGAAUUAAAGAUUGCCUAAGACUUUCACAGAUUGAACAGUGCUAAUCAAAAUUUCACUUCACUUCAAUGGAGCUUAACAAAUUAUCCAAGAAAAAAGGCAUUCGGAAAACACGGAUGCUUUUAAUGAUUAGAGAACCCUACCAUGCAGGGACAAGUCAUAUGAUACCAGGGAACUGUUACUGUUGGAUUAACAUGAUAUAAUAAUCUUGUACUUAAGACAAAUAUAUCUGAACGACAACCAAAACAUUGGUGAAGCAACCUACGUCAAUGGCCUCGUGCAUGUCAGGUACACCUUUUGUGAUGUUUUCACGAAGUCUCUGGUAUCCCCUGCAAAAAUUGUUAAAGUCACUUCUAAGCUAAUUAGCAAUUCACCUGGAAACCAGUAUAAACUUGUAAUAUUACAAGAUUAUAAUUUUCCUAGGAAUGAAAAAGUGGAAAAAUCCUAGAAAUACGGGUAUAGGGAGUUCUAAUGACCAGAAUCAGAUCAUGAUGCUGGAGAGAGGUUUUGCAUGACCAUUAUUUUUCUGUAUACUGGCCAAUCAUUGGGAAUGACAAUCAUUAAAUUCCUCGAAGCACCCUUUUCGGAAGUUUAUUUUGUUUCACUGACUAAGUAAGCUGUGUGUUCCUCACCACUCACAUGGGGGAGGCAAACAUCUGGGGAGCUUAUUUUCUAAAGCUUAACUAUAGGAUAUGAUAUUCUUUCUGAUUUAUUUGAAUCAGUUUUUUCUUCGUAAUUUGAUCCUUCUGUUCAUGUUCUCCAACAAGCCAAAAAUCAUUAACAGUUCACGGACAUCUUGCUGCAUAGAAAAUUUAAGAUAAGAGAACACAGCUUGUGAUUCUAUUUGAUCCUUCCAUCCCACGUUCUACAAUAAAAUAAAACUUAUCUGUAAUUCAUAUGCAUUUGACUGCAUAUCAAAUUUAAGAGAAGAGAACACAGCUAGUGAUGGAUCUAAAAUUGACAAUCGUCAAAAGGACAUUUCAAGAAUGCUAGAGGAGUCUAACCUGUAUCCUGCCGCUGGAGUCAUCUUGAUCUUCAACUUCUCUUCAUAAGGAAGUUCGAAAAAUUCGUGCGUCAAGGUUCUAACCUUUUUAAUAAGGGAAUCGGGAAUACCAUGGCCCUUCUGGUCAAUGACAAAGUUUACACACUUCCACAUCACUGAAGAAUGAAUAAGGAAGCACACAAUAUUCGUGCGUUUUCCCCGGACUGAACUAAAAACAAGACAGUUUUUAACAGCAACAUGCUUUUUUUUAUGUAAUUUCUGCGAUUCCCAUGCCUAAAACUCCAUUUGAGUUUUAAGUUCCCAAUCCUCACUCUAGAAACUCAAGUAAAGUGACAAAAGAAGCUCCCGCAAUAAUAUUGUACUUAUUAUCAAUGAAAAGGCCUAAUUAAACAACCUUUCGCCCUAAAAAACUCAACAUGUCAAGAAUGGGUCUAUCGGGAGUCGACUUAUCAAAUGGGUGGGUCGGGUCGGGUUGAAAAUGGGUGGACCUAUAUUUGACCCAUUUAACCCAUUUUGACCUAUAUUUAUGUAGUGUAAAUAUAGUGUCUCCUACCCGACCCAUAUUGCCGAACCCUAUUAAUAUUCUAAGAAAACCUACGCCUACUUUAAGUUAUAUGCUAAUUGGAUUAAAACUUCAAAUUAAAAUAAAAAUUAAAUAAUUUAAAAAUAGUUAAAAAUAAAAUAAAAAAAAAUAAAAAGUAAAAAAAACCUAUAAAUUGAAAUAUUUAUAAAGAAUUAGACCAUCCACAUGCUUCUCUUGUCUAAAGUAAACAUAACAUUAAGUAAUUGAAAACUACAACGUGAAAAACCUUUAACUAAAACUGAAAACAUAACAUUAAGUUCAUUUUUAUGAUAUUAUUUUAAAAAAAUGAUAUUGCUAAAACAUUUUUAUACGAUACAAAUUCAUUAGAAAUUUUUUAUGAUUUCUUUAAAAUAUAUAUUUUUUAAAAAUCAAAUUUUUAAUUAUUAUUAUUAUUUUUUUCUUCUUCCUCAACCAGUGACCGGCCACAGGCGAGCUUAAGCUCGCCUAACGUCAGUGAGAUCGAGCCAUGCCAAAUGUCAGGCAAGCUCAGCCUCGCCAAAUCCAACGAGACUCAAGCUCGCUUGACGCUGGUGAGCUCAAGCCUUGUUAGAUUCAUCAAGGCUCGAGCCUUGUUAGACAUUGGCGACCAUGCUCACAUGCCGCCGAGCUCGAGCUUUGCCUGGCCCAUCACCGUGCCGGCCAUAGGCUAAAAAAGGAGGAAGAAGAAAGAAAAAAGAAAUGAAAAGGGAAAUAUAAAAAAAAAACCAAAAUUUCGAUUUUUUAUUUAAAAAAAUAUUUUUAUAAAGUUAAAAAGAGAAAGAUUGUGUGAGGUUUGGAUUAGAAACUUGGAAAUAGGUUCUAACCCACUUGAUAGUUUAAAUGAGUCGAAAAUGGGUCAUAAUCAUACUCAUUUUUUUGACCCAUUUUCAGUGGGGUUUUUAAAAGUCUCUAACCUAUAUAUGACUCAUAUACGACCCAUAUACCACUCAUAUACAACCCAUAUAAAUAAAAUAUUAGUCCAAAAAUGAAUCCAUGACCCAUUUCGACACCACUAAUCAGGAGAUCGACCCACAAUGCAUAAUAAACAUAUUUCUUGAAAAAGACCAGAUGUUACCAACAGAGGCAAAAGAUUCAGUACAGCUUAUACUGGGAACAUUAACAGCUGAAUACGAAAACAAGUUCAACCACGUGUUCACACGUUCAGCAAAACAAGAUAACAAGCACAUAAUCGCCGACCCGGUGUUAUGGAAAGCGACCACAUAAAUUUCUGCCAUCAAAUACAGAAUCCCACUACAAAGCAUUCCGAUUGUUUGACCUAGUAAGCUCGCGUUUGCUUUUUCAGCAACUGGGUCGACGCUAAACUACCCGAAGGAGCGAGCGGGAACAAGGUCACUAACCACGUAGAAAAAACCAGCCUCCCUACAAGCCUGAUCCAACUGCCUGACAACUUCAGCCACGCCCGGGUCUGCACCCAUGUCCGGUUCAUCGCACUUGGCCAUGAGGGGACCCAUAUCUGCAGAACAAGAUUGAAACGCACUGGAUUGAACAUCGGGUCGAUCAGGUUUUGCAUCCGAUCAAUGGAAACUAAGGAGAAAGUACCGAUUAGAGGGAUGGAUUUAAAGUUAGUAGACAUUCUUUUUUCUUUUUCCUGUGAUGUUGAUGCGACGGUCGCUCUCAAUCAAAUCACUCAGAUUUGAGCCUUCACACGAGCGCGGGAAGAAUGAGGGGCCGGGAUGUUUUCCCGGGAAAAAUGGAAAUCGAAAUUAGAGACAUUUGCUCUGCAUGGCCCAGCACUUAAAUACUUAAAUCUCCAUGACCCAUCAAUUAAAUAAUUAAAUUCAAAAACGUCAUUCACUUUAUUGAUACAGAGGAAAGAUUUCAGAACCAACCAUCUUUUAUCUUUUUUUAAAUUGUAGAAAUGGUACAAAAUAGUUAGCCGGCAAUACCAAUAAAAAAGACAAGUCACCAAAGGAAUUUAUCACAAAAUUGUCUCAAAAAGGGUAGUUUGCACAUCUUUGGAAAUCACUAGCAUCCACCGAGUAAAUUAGUUCUGAGAAUUGCCGUUAGAGGGAUGGAUUUAAAGUCGGUACACAUUCUUUCUUCUUUGUCCCGUUGUGCUAAUGCGACGGUCGCUCGAUGAAAGUUCGGUGAGCUCAAUCAAAUGGCUCGGAUUUGAGCCUACAUGUGAGAGCCGGGUAGAAUAAGGGGCCGGGAUGUCCUCGGGGGAAAAGUGGAAAUCGAAAUAAGAGACAUUUGCUCUCCAUGGCCCAACAAUUAAAUAAUUAAAUCUCUAUGGCCUAGGAAUUAAAUAAUUAAAUUCAAAAACGAUUUGCUGAUGCACAGGAAACAACUCAAUUUCAGAACCAACCAUCUUUUAUCUAUUUAUAAAUCAUAGAAAUGGUACAGAAUGGUUAGCCGGCUGUACCGACCUAAAAGACAAGUCACAAAAGUAAUUAUCCCAAAAUUGCCCCAAAAAGGUAGUUUGCACAUCUUUGGAAAUCACUAACAUCCACCGAGUAAAUUAGUUCUAGAAAUUACUGUUAGAGGGAUGGAUUUAAAGUCGGUAGACAUUCUUUCUUCUUUUUACCGUAAUGUUGAUGCGACGGUUGCUCGAUAAAAGUUUAGUGGGUUUAAUCAAAUCGCUCAGAUUCGAGCCUACACGCGAGCGACGGGAAGAAUGAAGGGCCAGGAUGUCCUCAGGGGAAAAAUGGAAAUCAAAAUAAGAGACAUUUGCUCUCCAUGGCCUAGCAAUUAAAUAAUUAAAUUAAAAAAUGGCAUUCACUUUGCUGAUGCACAGGAAACAACUCAAUUUCAUAACCGACCAUCUUUUAUCUAUUUAUAAAUCGUAGAAAUGGUACAAAAUAGUUAGCCGGCAAUACCAGCCUAAAAGAAAAGUCACAAAAGGAAUUUAUCCCAAAAUCCCAAAAUUGUCCCAACAAGGGUAGUUUGCACGUCUUUGGAAAUCACUAGCAUCCACUGAGUAAAUCAAUUCUAAAAAUUACCGUUAGAGUGAUGGAUUUAAAGUCAGUAAACAUUCAUUCUUCUUUUUCCUGUGAUGCUAAUGCGACGGUCCCUCGAUGAAAGCUUGAUGAGCUCAAUCAAAUUGCUCGGAUUCGAGCCUACACAUGAGCACCGAGAAGAAUGAGGGGAUGGGAUGUCCUCAGGGGAAAAAUGGAAAUUGAAAUAAGAGACAUUUGCUCUCUAUGGCCCAGCAAUUAAAUAAUUAAAUUAAAAAAAAAAGGUUAUUCACUUUGUUGAACAACUCAAUUUCAGAACCAACCAUCUUUUAUUUAUUUAUAAAUUGUAGAAAUGGUACAAAAUAGUUAGCCGGCAGUACUAGCCUAAAAAGACAAAUCAUAAAAGGAAUUUAUCCCAAAAUUGUCCCAAAAAGGGUAGUUUGCACAUCUUUGGAAAUCACUAGCAUCUGCCGAGUAAAUCAAUUCUAAAAUUACCGUUAGAGGGAUGGAUUUAAAGUUAGUAGAUAUUCUUUCUUAUUUUUCCCGUGAUGCUAAUACGAUGGUCGCUUGAUGAAAGUUUAGUGAGCUCAAUCAAAUUGCUUGGAUUCAUGCCUACAUGCGAGUGCUGGGAAGAAUAAGGGGCCGGGAUGUCCUUGGGGUAAAAAUGAAAAUCGAAAUAAGAGACAUUUGCACUCCAUGUCCCAAUAAUUAAAUAAUUAAAUUAAAAAACGUCAUUCACUUUGCUGAUGCACAAGAAAUAACUCAAUUUCAGAACCAACCAUCUUUAAUUUUUUUGUAAAUUGUAGAAAUUGUACAAAAUAGUUAGCCGGCAGUACCAACCUAAAAGACAAGUCGCAAAAGGAAUUUAUCCCAAAAUUCCAAAAUUGUUCCAAAAGGGUAAUUUGCACAUCUUUAGAAUCACUAGCAUCCAUAGAGUAAAUCAGUUCUAAAAAUUGAUGUGGAUGAGACCCAAAGGAACCUUUUUUUGUGAAGAACUCAAAACCUGGUUCAGCUUGUACAGCCCUCAACAAUCCGUGUAAUUUGGGCCAAAAACAAGGGCAAAACUAAAACAAAAAUGAAAAUGGACGUUUUGCAACUUUCAUGAGUUUCAAAAAUCAUGGAGAAAUUACACGUUAUAUUUUAAGACGUAAGCUACAACUUUCAUGAAGAACACUCUACUAAAUUUCUUGUCGAAAAUUCCAUGGAAAUAAAAACCUUGUAAAGAUCCGUAAAUUUCCAAGAAAAACUUAUUCAAAUUCAUGUACUUUUCCAAAUACAAUUUGAUCAUACGAAGUUCCAAAAAUCCAAAAUUAAAGUAUGUUAUAGAACAAGGUAUAAGGUGCGACUUUCAUGAGUAGAGCCUCACAAAAUUCGUACCACAUAAAUUGGUAUAAAACUAACAUAAUACCGGGUCUAUAGUGACCUGAACUUGAAAACAACGACGUCCCCAAAUUUUGUCCACGACUCGUGUUAUUCAACCUCAAAUACACAUAAAUCUCAACAACCAGCAUCUCAACAAUACAUUCAUGAACUCAAUAAACCAUAAACUCAACAAUGCUAGUUGCGUAAGUGUUGACACUUAAAUUUUUACAUAAAAAAUGAGUUAAUUUUACCCAAAAAAGAAUAAAAUAAAAUUAUAUAGUAUAUAAUUUUAGGCGCAUUUGAUAUAUUUAAUAAAUCUUUUAUAUAUUCAAACAAUAUAUACCAAGAGGUAUAUUUCAUUAAAAAUUGGAAAGUUUCGAUGGAGUAUUUCACAUGUGAUAUAUAUUUGGCAUUAAUUUUUGGGUAAUAUGCAUUUUCGACGUAAUAAAAUAAACAUUAGAUCUUUCGAUUGUCAAUGAGCGUGAAUAAAUGAUAGAAAAUGAAAUGAAAUCGUGAAGAUUACACCUUAGCCACGCGAGAUGCAAUCGAAAAGAAAAAGGAAAUUUUACUUCUUCCACGUGUGGGCUCAAUUUCGUUGUAAAAAAAAAAAAAAGGGGGAUUUUCUCGUGCGAUGGGGAGAGAAUAAAAAAGUCGUGUGAGAAUUUUAAAAUAAAUGAAAGAAAAGGCGUGAGAGAGUCUGAAGAGAGAAAAAAAAGAGAGGAACCUCACGCCCCUCAUCCCAGAAAGUCAACAGAAAAAGGUUACUUCUCUUCUUCUCUGACAGGCUGCAGAGAAAAGAAGAGGGAGUCAGCAAGUUGCAGAAAAAAGAAAGAAGUGAGCGUCAGAAUACAGAGAAAAAGGAAGAGUAAAAGAAGAUGAGAAAAAAUAAAAAAAGUCAUCUUCUUCCAGGGGAAGCUUCGGCCGUCUGCAUCUCCUCCCCCAUCCACCCCCCCCUUCCUUUGCAUCUCCACAGCCACGAGCGCCGCUCGCUCGCCAGCUACUGCCUCAGCAUCCCGCUCGUCUCCGUCGCGCCCGACGCCUGCUGCCCUUCGCCCGAGCAUUGCCGUUCCGCCAGCCGCCGAGACUCCGCCAUCCGAGUCCCCACUCGCCGUCUCCAACACACCACCGCCACUUUUUUGCUUUCUUCCUUCAUCUUCACCGCAAUCCUCCCUAACACCUCCACCCUUACUGUCACCAUCACCACCGUUCUCACCAUCGCCAAACAAAGGAAGAAAACGAGAGAGUUAAAAAUAAAUGGAAAAAGAAAAGAAAAGUAAAAUACAUAAGUUAGAUAUUUUUUAUACGUUAGCAUUGUUUGCUUUUUAUCUGCAUGUUGGUGGGCACAUAAGAUUUUUAGAAGGCGUUUGCUAAGAGAAUUUUGAUAGAGAGUAAAUAUGUCACAUAGGUACCAAUUUGACAUGAUUUGAGGUUAAAAGUAAAUGUGUCAUACGGAUAUAAUAAAAUUUAGGAUAAAUGUGUCACAAUUAACAUAAUUUAAGAUUUUUUGUUGCAUUUUCCUUACUUUCUAAGAUAAAUUAGAGCCCAAGUGUGAGAACCCACAUUGACUUAUAGGAGUUUCCUAUAGUUCAUGGAUUAUUAAAACAUAAUCAGGGCUCUUUGUAAAAAGAAGGACAAAAGAUAAAGUAUUAGAUAAUGAUAGGACCUCUAGCUAUUACAUUGAGAGGGGGGGGGGGGGGGGUGUUAGGACGAUCGAUGACAAGCGGCAACCACCAUCAAGGUGUUUGCUCAUGAAACCCCUGGUUAGAGGUGAGCAUGAUUCGAGUGAGCGGUUCCCAUCUUGGAAUCGAAAAUCACUCAAUAAGGACCAUUUUUGAAAAUUUGGAAUUAGGAACCAUCCGUUGAUUUUAUGGAUCUACUCGAGAACCGGCCAGUCCAAUGCUCUGGUGGGUCCAUGAAAUAGGUCGCAUCAAGCUUCACACACUUAAUGCAACAUUUUAUGGCAAGCCAAAGUAAAAUAAAAAAUAAAGAAUUUCCCUAUUCUUAAUUGCAAGAUCAAUAAAAAGAUUGGACUCAUAUUAAAAGUUGAAAAUCGAGGCCGUGGGUGAUAGAUAGAAAGACAACUCAGAUGAGAUGAGAGUGAGACAAGACAAGCACUCAAUUGAUGGGUGUUGAGCUUCAAAUAUAGGGGUUUUAGGAUUUUCAUUUUUGUUAAAUUUUUAUUUGGUCAGAAAAUUUUCUUAAAAAUUAAAUAUAUAUUUAUUACCAGUCCGGUCUAAGUAGGCGAUUCUACACCUAGAACUGAGAACCAGAUAGUUCCCUACUAGUUCCGGACAGUUUUUGGUUCUUUAAUGUUACCCCUACUUGUGGCAAAAUAAUGACGCUAGUUUUAAAUUCAUGCAAUUUGAUCCCCUAAGUUUUUUUUUUAUUCUGCACUCUAUUACUAUAAAAAUCUCACUAGCAAUCUAAAUUUUUGAAAUGAAGUCUUUCCCUCAAACAAUAUGACCAUCGAAUAGCCGAUGGGCAUCGCUACUCAACCAAAAAGUGUACAAAUAGUGCUAGUGCCACAUCUGCAAACACGAGGGGAAAAGAAAAAGGAAAAUCCUAGAAGAUAAAAAGAGAGGGAAGGGUUACACACUUUGUCAGUAAGUAGCUUCUACCAACCCUCGUCAAGCACAACUAAGGUUGGCGAAUUAUGUGCUAUCUACAGAGAGUUAUAGGUGAAUUUUUUUUUUUUUAAUUUCAUAUCCUGAAUUGAUAUACUUCAAUUUCAAGUGACAACUGUUAGGACGAUCGUGAGGGCGACCAAUGACAAGCGGCAACCACCAUCAAGGUGUUUGCUCAUGAAACCCAUGGUUAGAGGUGAGCAUGAUCCGAGUGAGCGGUUCCCAUCUUGGAAUCGAAAAUCACUCAAUAAGGACCAUUUUUGAAAAUUUGGAAUUAGGAACUAGGAACCAUCCGUUGAUUUUAUGGAUCUACUCGAGAACCGGCCAGUCCAAUGCUUUGGUGGGUCCAUGAAAUAGGUCGCAUCAAGUUUCACACACUUAAUGUAACAUUUUAUGGCAAGCCAAAGUAAAAUAAAAAAUAAAGAAUUCCCCUAUUCUUAAUUGCAAGAUCAAUAAAAAAGAUUGGACUCAUAUUAAAAGUUGAAAAUCGAGGCCGUGAGUGAUAGAUAGAAAGACAACUCAGAUGAGAUGAGAGUGAGACAAGACAAGCACUCAAUUGAUGGGUGUUGAGCUUCAAAUAUAGGGGUUUUAGGAUUUUCAUUUGUGUUAAAAUUUUAUUUGGUCAAAAAAAUUUCUUAAAAAUUAAAUAUAUAUAUUUAUUACCGGUCCGGUCUAAGUAGGCAUUUCCACACCUAGAACUGAGAACCAGAUAGUUGCCUACUGGUUCCGGACAGUUUUUGGUUCUUUAAUGUUACCCCUACUUGUGGCAAUAUAGUGACGCUAGUUUUAAAUUCAUGCAAUUUGAUCCCCUAAGUUUUUUUAUUUAUUUAUUCCGCACUCUAUUACUAUAAAAAUCUCACUAGCAAUCUAAAUUUUUGAAAUGAAGUCUUUCCCUCAAACAAUAUGACCAUCGAAUAGCUGAUGGGCAUCGCUACUCAACCAAAAAGUGUACAAAUAGUGCUAGUGCCACAUCUGCAAACACAAGGGGAAAAGAAAAAGGAAAAUCCUAGAAGAUAAAAAGAGGGGGAAGGGUUACACACUUUGUCGGUAAGUAGCCUCUACUAACCCUCGUCAAGCACAACUAAGGUCGGCAAACUCUGUGCUAUCUACAGAGAGUUAUAGGUGAUUUUUUUUUUUUUUUAAUUUCAUAUCCUGAAUUGAUAUACUUCAAUUUCAAGUGACAACUGUUAGGAUGAUCGUGAGGGCGACCAAUGACAAGCGGCAACCACCAUCAAGGUGUUUGCUCAUGAAACCCAUGGUUAGAGGUGAGCAUGAUCCAAGUGAGCGGUUCCCAUCUUGGAAUCGAAAAUCACUCAAUAAGGACCAUUUUUGAAAAUUUGGAAUUAGGAACCAUCCGUUGAUUUUAUGGAUCUACUCGAGAACCGGCCAGUCCAAUGCUCUGGUGGGUCCAUGAAGUAGGUCGCAUCAAGCUUCACACACUUAAUGCAACAUUUUAUGGCAAGCCAAAGUAAAAUAAAAAAUAAAGAAUUUCCCUAUUCUUAAUUGCAAGAUCAAUAAAAAAGAUUGAACUCAUAUUAAAAGUUGAAAAUCGAGGCCGUGAGUGAUAGAUAGAAAGACAACUCAGAUGAGAUGAGAGUGAGACAAGACAAGCACUCAAUUGAUGGGUGUUGAGCUUCAAAUAUAGGGAUAUUAGGAUUUUCAUUUUUGUUAAAUUUUUAUUUGGUCAAAAAAAUUUCUUAAAAAUUAAAUAUAUAUUUAUUACGGGUCCGAUCUAAGUAGGCGGUUCCACACCUAGAACUGAGAACCAGAUAGUUGCCUACUGGUUCCGGACAGUUUUUGGUUCUUUAAUGUUACCCCUACUUGUGGCAAUAUAGUGACGCUAGUUUUAAAUUCAUGCAAUUUGAUCCCCUAAGUUUUUAUUUUUUAUUUUUUAUUAUGCACUCUAUUACUAUAAAAAUCUCACUAGCAAUCUAAAUUUUUGAAAUGAAGUCUUUCCCUCAAACAAUAUGACCAUCGAAUAGCUGAUGGGCAUCGCUACUCAACCAAAAAAGUGUACAAAUAGUGCUAGUGCCACAUCUGCAAACACAAGGGGAAAAGAAAAAGGAAAAUCCUAGAAGAUAAAAAGAGGGGGAAGGGUUACACACUUUGUCGGUAGGUAGCCUCUACCAACCCUCAUCAAGCACAGCUAAGGUCGGCGAACUCUGUGCUAUCUAUAGAGAGUUAUAGUUGAUUUUUUUUUUUUUUAAUUUCAUAUCCUGAAGUGAUGUACUUCAAUUUCCACUUUGAUGGAAUUACUCUUUCCUUUUGUAACUAAUGAAUAUCUCAUCAUUCGUAUUAUUAGAGAUAAUUAUAAUAUUUAAUUAUGGUAGAGAUAAACGGGAUAUUUCUCUUAAUUCUCCAUAUCUCUUAGAAUUACACAUAUAUUGCUCUUGAUUGUGCAUGUCUGUGAGUGACUAUAAAUGAUAUCAUCAUUAUCUUGUUUCUUUAAAUAAUCAUCUAAUAAAGUUUAGGCUCAUGCACUCUUAAUUAUAAUGCAUUGGAAUAUAAUGAAAUUACACAAUUUUUUUUCUUCAUUAUUCUUAUCUUGGCAUAUGCACUUGAUGCACACUUGAGUGCACACCUAGAACACACUUCUUAUCUCACGUCUUUCUCUUUUUCAAUAACUAUUAACAUCUCUCUCAAAAUUGUCCAUAUAGUCAUUAGCGACCUCAGAUCACUCAGUUGUCCCGAAGUUCACACAGUAGCCACAGUAGUCUCUUGUGCAUAUAGCCUCUUGCCACGAUGGCAACCUCUUGUUGCAUAGUCUACACAAUAACCAUGCCAACAUCAGCUGAUUCUCUCUUCAGCACACCAAACCGAUUCAAUGUUCCCAUCUAGGAUUUUUUCUUUCUAGAUCUUUUUCCCAAACUCCAGUUGAUUUCUAAGUUACCUUGAGUUUGGGCGAUGUUAGAAUUAAUUAUGAUUUCCCCUUGAUUCUCCACACCUCUCAAGAUUGCACAUACAUCUCCAUUGAUUGUGUAUAUCCCUAAUUAAUUAUAAUUGAUAUUACGAUUAUUUUUUUAUUUUGGAUCUUUUUUUUUCUUUAUUUCUUUUCUUCCUUUGGCUGGUACUUGGCCAUGGCCAACAACCUACCACGAGCAAACGGAAAAGAAAAGGAAAAAAUUCAUAAUUUUUAAAAAAUUAUCUACGUCAGCAACUAUCAUGCAAUAUAGGCCGGUUGGCGUCCGUAUCAUCGGUUUUUUGCCGAAAUUGGUUGGAAUAACUACAUUGGUAAAUCAUUAAAAGGUUUUUGACUAAAUUAAUAAAUCCUUAAAAUGUUUAAGACUAAAUUAACACAAUUGAGAUGUUUAGGACUAAAUUAGUAAAUUGUCAAAAAGUUUAGGAAUAAAUUUUUAUAAUUGAAAGGUUUAAGAUUGAGUUGACUGUGAUAUUAUAUGUUUAGGAAUUUUUGGACAAUCUAUAUAAUAUGGAAAUGUUUUUUUCUUUCGGAUGCUACCAAGAAGGAAAGUUUGACUUAAACUUUGGAGGGGAUGCUUUUUAUGUUGUUUUGGAUUGGUACAGAUGCGAAUAAAUUUGCUUGGUACGUAAUCCAAGGCAGAGCAUCUUUGUGUUAUUACUAUAAAUAAGAAAUAAUAAGGAUACUAGAAAUUUACGUGGUUUGAUUUGACUAUCGGUACCUACGUCCACGGGGAGAGUAAGCAGCAAAUAAUCCGCUAUAAUCAGAGAAUUAGAGUUUACAAUCACUCACACACUCGAGUGUUUCCCACACCUAGAUUUAACUAUAAACCCAAAGUAUUUAUAAAUAAACAACUCACUUAGAGAUAAACUCACGGCACAAAAUUACCGUGCGUUCAAGCUCAAAGCAAAACGCUCUACGUACGCCAAAAUCAAGAACUCCACCGUUCGCCUAUGGUCCACGUACGUAAAUCUUCACGUUUCUUUGGAAAGCUUCGCGUGGCUUCAAGGACAUGCGGCUUCAGAAAACUAGUGAAUCGUGGACAUCUAGAGGAGUUGGUCUACAUACGCCUUUUAUAUUGUGUGUGCCCAAAAGUCAAAGUCUUGACUUUUGGGGCCCACGCAAAUAAUUCGGCUUCUGUAGGCUUCCGCGGAUGAGGAAAUUCGUAUCUAUUCUUAUAUGUGUGCCCACUAGGCCCCUUUCGGCAACCUUCUGUAGAUAAAGAAAACUUUGCUCCCUUUUUUUCCCCUUUAUUCUAUUAUUUCCUCUUUUGUAAAUCUUUAAGAGUCCAGCGAAUUUUCUCAUCCAAUUUGAAAUCUACUUGGGAAAUCUUUAUCAACAAAUUCGGUUUAACAAAUCGUUAUCCGAAUUCAAGCUCGAGACAUUAAUUUAACAAUUCUCCACCUUAGUUUGAUGUUUGAAGCCAAGUUAUAGUGCUCAUCAUCCAUGCUGUUCUCCCAACGCCUCGACGGACGUUCACUCUCCACAGACGCCAAUGGAGCUCAAGCAAAGCUUGAGCUUCACCAAAGGAACAGUCUUAAUCAUCAUGUCUGCCGAGUUAUCUGCUGUAACAAUCUUUUUAAUAAUAACAUUACCCUUAUCUAAGACAUCUCGAAUGAAGUGGUACCUAAUAUUGAUAUGCUUCGUUUGCUCGUGAUAAACUAGAUUAUACGCUAAAUAUAUCACACAUUGGUUAUCACAGUAUAUAUCCACACUUUUCUGUUCUAAGCCAAAGUUCAAGAGCAAACUUUGUAACCAUAUCACCUUAUUCGCUAUAAAGAUUAGUGCUAUGUACUCUACCUUAGUCAAAGACAAGGCAAUGUGAUCAUGUAAGGAUGAUUUCUAACUAACUACACCACCCGCUAAUGUAAACAUGUACCCUGCUAAAGACCUACGAUCAUCCAAGUCACUGUCAUGAUCCGAAUUCAUAAAAUUAGUGGUCUCACUACUAUUGCUUUCCCUCCGAUACACUAUACCCACGUCUGUUGUCCCAUUUACAUAUUUGAGGAUCUACUUCAUAGUUUUCCAACAAACUUUACCAGGACACUUCAUAUAGCGACUAACCACGCUCACAACUUAUGAAAUAUCAGGCUUAGUGCAUACCAUAACAUACAUAAUACUACCCAUGACACUAAAAGAAGGAACAUGGGACAUAUGCUCCUCUUUCUCCUCAGUCUACGAUGAUAAUUUAUCUGAAAUUUUAAAGUGCUUCGCUAAAGGUGUACUUAUAGAUUUUGCCGAUUGCAUAUUAAAACGUACCACGAUAUUCUCAAUAUAUUUUUUCUGAGAUAGACGUAAAACUCCUGCAGCCUUGUCACGCAAAAUCUCCAUACCCAAUAUUUUCUUUGCUGCACUUAAAUCUUUCAUCUCAAAUUCAACAUUUAACCGCCUCUUCAGCACAUCAAUAUUAGAUAUAUUCUUAACUACUAUCAGCAUAUCAUCAACAUAUAAGAGUAGAUAAAUCAAAAAACCAUUAUCCAAUCUCCUAAAGUAGACACAGCUAUCCAUCUAACUUUUUGAAUAGUUUUGAUUAGCCAUAAAAGCAUCAAAACAUUUAUACCACUACCUAAGAGGCUGUUUUAACUCAGAUUUGUUCAACAAGCAAACAUGAUAUUCCUUACUUAGAAUAACAAAUCUCUCUAGUUGCCUCAUGUAAAUCAGCUCCUCCAACUCACCGUGAAGAAACGCAGUUUUUACAUUUAGCUGCUCUAACUCAAGAUCCUGCAAAGUAAUUCAGGCAAGUAAAACAUAAAUAGAAGUAUGUUUUACCACAUGAGAGAACAUCUCAUUGUAGUCAAUACCCUCACGCUGUGUAUAUCCCUUCGCCACAAGUCUCGCCUUAUACCUCGCUGUCUCAACACCAAGAAUGUCCUCUUUCCGUUAAAAAAACCCAUUUAAUUCCAAUAAUCUAUUUAAUUCCAAUAAUCUUUUGGUUUUUAGGUACUUUGACCAGCUCUCAUGUCUAAUUUCGAUGGAGUGAUUCCAUUUCUUCACUCAUAGCCCUUAGCCACUGCGACAACUCCGAACUAGCCAUCGCCUCAGAGUAAGAUGAAGACUCAUCUAUCUCCACCUCAUCACCUACAGUCAAUGUAUAAGCAAUAUAUGUAUAACCAUAACGUACCGGUGAUUUAAUUUGUCUUCUCUGUCUAUCCGUGGCUAUAACACUACAACUUUGCUAGUUGUUCACUAUCACUAACUUUAGAAACUGUAGCUUCAUUUGCAGUCUCAACUUUUGUUACCUUCGAGGUCUCCAGAGUUUCCACCUGAAGUCUCACCUCACUAAUGACACCAUGAUUUGUCUUCUCUGCUGGUUGUAUCAUGGAACUCCUUUGUUGAAGCAUUAUAGUCUCAUCGAAGAUCACAUCUCUACUGAUUAGAAAACCAGGUGAUUUGGGAUCGAUGCACCAUAGCUGGUAGCCUUUCACCCUGUGUGUAUAACCCAGAAGUAUGCACUUCUCGCUCUCGGCUCAAGCUUACCAUCACUUGCAUGAGCAUACGCAAGACAUCCGAAUGUACGUAAUCAGAAGUAAUCAACAGGUUUCCUCAACCAUACUUCAUCAGUAGUCUUCCACUCGAUAGCAGAUGAUGGAGAUCAAUUAACAAGGUAACAUGCCAUGUUCACUGCUUCGGCCCAAAAUUCCUUACCAAGUCCUACAUGCAAAAACAUACAUCGAGCAUGCUCAAGCAAAGUUUUAUUCUUCCGUUCUACCACGCCAUUCUAUUGUAAUGUCUCAGGUAUUAUGCGGUGUCUUAAAAUACAUUCUUUCUCACAAAACUCAGUAAAAUCUUUACUAUAGAACUCCAUGCCAUUAUUGAUUCUUAGACACUUAGUUUGUUUAUCUAACUGCUUCUCAAUCAAUGCCUUAAAUUUCUUGAACCGAUUAAACACAUCAUAUUUUUGCUUCAGAAAGUAUACCUAACCUUCCUCGAAUAGUCGUCGAUAAAAGUCAGCAUAUAUCGAGCACCUCUUUUCAAAGAAACCGAAGACGAGCCCUAGAUGUCUGAAUGAAUAUAUUCAACUUGUCGUUUGGUCGAAUGAAUAGCUAUAGCAAACUUAACUCGGUGCUGCUUCCCAAAGAUAGAGUGCUCACAUAAGUCCAGCUUUCCUAUCUUUUGACCCUUCAACAAUCCCCUUUCACUCAAUAUUGUCAUACUUGCCUCACUCAUGUGCUCUAAACGCAUAUGCCAUAACUGAGUUAAGUUAGAGUCUGAUUUAUCUGAUGAAACUGCAGUGGGUCUAGUCACGGUCUCUCUAGUAGAUAAUAGAGAGUAUUCACUUUUCCCCUUCGUUACUGUCAUGGCACCUCGAGAGACCUUCAGUACUCCACCUUCAGCGGUGUACCUACACUCGAUGUCAUCGAGUGUCCCUAGAGAAAUAAGGUUCUUCUUGAGCUCUAGUACAUGCCUCAUAUCUGUCAAUGUGCACACCACCCCCAUCAUGCAUCCGAAUUCGAAUUGUCCCUAUCCCUACAUCCUUAUAGACUACAUUAUUCCUCAAAAGAACUCUACCACCAUCUACAGUCUAGUAAGUAGUAAACUAGUUCUUAUGAGGCAUCAUAUGAUAAGAACACCUCGAAUCUAGCACUCAUUCGUCUCCUAACAAAGUAGUAGUCACACAUAAAACAACUUCUGCAUCACUAUUGCUCCCCUCGGCAAUGUUUGCCACACUACUUGUAGCAUUCGACCUAUUAGCUUUAUUCCUCCACUUUGGACAAUCUCUCCUGAUAUGCCCCUCCUCGUGACACUCAAAGCACUUCACGUGUUCCUUGGACUUUCUAUGACGUGAUUUCAAUUUGCUUUUACCUCUGCUACUACUAAGCCCUCGAUGUUGUUCUCUACCUCAAAUCAUCAAUGCUUGUGCUACUCCUUGCCCCAUACCAUCAUCUCGCAACUUUUUCUGCCACUCCUAAGAGAAUAAGGCGGACUUUACCUCUUUUGAGGUAAUUGUAGUACGCCUCUGUAAUAAUGAAUCAGUAAAGUGCUCCCGUGACUCUGUUAAAUAAGCUAACAAUAUCAUGCCCUAUUCUUCAUCAUCAAGUAUCUUAUUAAUGUUUUUCAAAUCCAUCAUGAAUUUAUUAAAUUCAUCUAGGUGGGUUCCGAUAGAUGUACAUUUAGUAUAUUUAAAUUGAAACAUCUUCUUCAACAUGUACAAGCAAGCGAUUGUUCAAACCUUUCUUCACAUAGUGUGCUUGAAGUUUUGCCCAUAAUGCUGCGGCAUCCUUCUCCUCAACAACUCAUAUUAAGACCUCAUUCGACAAAUUUAACAGAAUUGUGUUAUUUAUUCUUUCCAUUAGCUCUACCCUUUCCGAGGCUUUCGUUAUAAUAGGCAAUCCAUUUUCACCAUCCAAUGCCUUGGCUAAACCUUGGGUUGUCAAUAAAGCCCACAUCUUGAUGCUCCAUAACACUCAAUUGCAGAUUUCUUCUCAGACAUAAUUACAAUAACAGAGUUUUCAGAUAAUAAUCAGAUAAGCAAAAGCUCCAAAUCAUAAUCAAGAAAUCUGAUCCCAAGCUCUUAUACCAAUUGUUGGAAUAUAAUACGCGGAAACAAUAGGAUUUUGCAAUUUAUGUUAAUGCGAAAUCAUCAGAUAAAUAUAUGAGAAAUAAUAAGAACACUAGAAAUUUACGUGGUUUGGUCUGAGUAUAGGUAUUUACGUCAACGAGAAGAGCCAGCAUCAAAUAAUCUACUAUAAUUAGAGAAUAAGAGUUUACAAUCAUUCACACGCUCGAGUGUUUCCCACACCUAGAUUUAAUCCCAAACCCAAAGUGUUUAUAAAUAAACAACUUACUUUGACAUAAACUCACGGCACAAAAUCAUCACACUUUCAAGCUCAAAGCAAAACGCUCUACGUAUGCCAAAAUCAAGAACUCCGCUGUUCAUCUUUGGUCCACGUACAUAAAUCUUCACGUUCCUUUGGAAAGCUUCGCGUGGCUUCAAGGACAUGCGGCUUCAGAAAACUAGCAAAUUGUGGACAUCCAAAGGAGUUGGUGUGUACGUACGCCUUUUAUAUUGUGUGUGUCCAAAAGUCAAAGUCUUGACUUUUGGGCCGCACGCAAAUAAUUCGGCUUCUACAGGCUUCCGCGGAUGAGGAAAUUCGUAUAUAUUCUUAUAUGUGUGCCCACUAGGCCCUUUCGGCAAGCUUCUGCAUAUAAAGAAAACUUUGCUCCUUUUUUUUUUUUUUUCUUUAUUCUAUUAUUUCCUCUAUUGUAAAUCUUCAAGAAUCCAACAAAUUUCCUCGUUCAAAUUUAAAAUCUACUUGGGCAAUCUUUAUCAACAAAUUUGGUUUAACAAAUCGUUAUCCGAAUUCAAAGUCGAGACAUUAAUUUAACAUUCUCAAUUAUUGUUCUAGGCACCACCAGGCUCACUUUCUUGGAUCUUAGGUUCAACAACCUGAUUUGGACCGAUACCACCGCAAGUAUUACCUCUGGGCCUUGAAGUUCUCUUUCUCAACAACAACAAGUUCAAUGGGACAAUCCCGGAAAAUCUCGGUAAAACACCCGUAAGUUAUCUCACCCUAGCCAACAAGUUCACAUGCCCAAUCCCUCGAAGCAUAGGGCAAACUUCAGAGUCGUUGCUAGAGGUGCUGUUCCUGAAUAACCAAUUAUCGGGUUGCCUUCCGUAUGAGAUAGGACUUCUGAAGAAAACCACUACUUUCGACGCCAGUAUCAAUCAGUUGACUGGUCCCAUACCACAUUCCUUCGGCUGUCUGCAGCAGAUGAAUCAGCUAAACUUGUCGUAUAGCCAUUUAUACGGACCAGUUCCUGAGACGGUGUGCAUGCUGCCGAAGUUGAGUGCACUAACACUGAACAACAAUUACUUCACACAGGUUGGGCCGGAAUGCCGGAAGUUGAUCUUGAAGAAAAAGCUCAACGUAAGGAUGAACUGCAUUUUAGGUCUUCCAUCACAGAGAUCUCCGGCAGAAUGUGAUGCCUUCUUCUCCAAGAAGGUAAAGUGCCCAAACGAGAGAUCAAUGAGAUAUCUCCCCUGCAAGAUUAGUCAGUUAAAUGCCGAGGAUACCUCCAAAGGGUUAGUGACACCUGAGAUCGCCCCAGCACCAUCACCUUCUUAUGCGGCACUCAAUAGGAACCGAUAGCAAGUAAAGUUAUUAGACAGGGCUAAAGCAAUUGUCAUGUGGCUUCUGCCAGAAAAAUAAUGGGGCACAGCAGCUUUCUGUACUUAGUUUUUUUAAUGUUUGCAUCAUGCAUUGUAACUGCAAGCAUGUAAGUUUCUCGUGAA